GGGUGAUAAAUGAUGCAUUCCGCAUUCUGCCUAGUGUUCGCCCGUGUGGCACCUGCAAAGCAACACCUGGAGGCAACAUCACCCAGCAACAUGGACGUCAGGGCGAAAAACAGAAAGCACCAAGGAAUACACAAGGCCCUGGAAAAUUACUUACAACGGAGGCAAGGAGGAGUCUCCACCCUCGGAAAUCCGCAUGUUCCCGUGUGUGUGUGUGGGGGGGGGGGGG
RNAcentral lists this long non-coding RNA (226 nucleotides) under Rhinopithecus bieti (black snub-nosed monkey). RNAcentral describes it as "lncRNA (ENSRBIG00000045164.1)". Lineage: Eukaryota; Metazoa; Chordata; Mammalia; Primates; Cercopithecidae. The record is from RNAcentral.